CCUACGGGAGGCAGCAGUAGGGAAUCUUUCACAAUGGGGGAAACCCUGAUGCAGCGACGCCGCGUGCGUGAAGAAGUAUUUCGGUACGUAAAGCGCUAUCAGAAGGGAAGAAAAUGACGGUAACUGACGAAUAAGCACUGGCUAACUACGUGCCAGCAGCCGCGGUAAUACGUAGGGGGCAAGCGUUAUCCGGAUUGACUGGGUGUAAAGGGAGCGUAGACGGCAGCGCAAGUCUGGAGUGAAAUCCCAUGGCUUAACCAUGGAACUGCUUGGGAAACUGUGCAGCUAGAGAGCAGGAGAGGUAAGCGGAAUUCCUAGUGUAGCGGUGAAAGCCGUAGAUAUUAGGAGGAACACCAGUGGCGAAGGCGGCUUACUGGACUGUAACUGACGUUGAGGCUCGAAAGCGUGGGGAGCAAACAGGAUUAGAUACCCGGGUAGUC
This 440-nucleotide ribosomal RNA is filed under the name uncultured bacterium. RNAcentral describes it as "partial 16S ribosomal RNA". It matches the Rfam family "Bacterial small subunit ribosomal RNA", at positions 338 to 795 of the family's 1533-position model. The record is from RNAcentral.